UACGUAGGUGGCAAGCGUUGUCCGGAAUUAUUGGGCGUAAAGCGCGCGCAGGCGGCUAUGUAAGUCUGGUGUUAAAGCCCGGGGCUCAACCCCGGUCCGCAUUGGAAACUGCGUAGCUUGAGUGCAGAAGAGGAAAGCGGUAUUCCACGUGUAGCGGUGAAAUGCGUAGAGAUGUGGAGGAACACCAGUGGCGAAGGCGGCUUUCUGGCUCAA
Molecule: ribosomal RNA, 213 nt
Filed under: uncultured prokaryote
Description: partial 16S ribosomal RNA
Rfam family: Bacterial small subunit ribosomal RNA
Source: RNAcentral